GGAGGGUGCAAGCGUUAUCCGGAUUCACUGGGUUUAAAGGGUGCGUAGGUGGGUUGGUAAGUCAGUGGUGAAAUCUCCAGGCUUAACUUGGAAACCGCCAUUGAUACUAUCACUCUUGAAUACCGUGGAGGUCAGCGGAAUAUGUCAUGUAGCGGUGAAAUGCUUAGAUAUGACAUAGAACACCAAUUGCGAAGGCAGCUGGCUACACGAAUAUUGACACUGAUGCACGAAAGCGUGGGGAUCAAACAGGAUUAGAUACCCUGGUAGUCCACGCCCUAAACGAUGGAUACUCGACAUACGCGAUAUACUGUGUGUGUCUGAGCGAAAGCAUUAAGUAUCCCACCUGGGAAGUACGAUCGCAAG
This 363-nucleotide ribosomal RNA is filed under the name uncultured bacterium. RNAcentral describes it as "bacterial SSU rRNA". It matches the Rfam family "Bacterial small subunit ribosomal RNA", at positions 527 to 892 of the family's 1533-position model. The record is from RNAcentral.